GGCAACUAGUGACAGCUGUCUCUGAUUGGGAAUCGACAGAACCCAACAUAGAAAUACGCCCCAAAGCAAGGCUAUACCAAAAACAUAGAAAAUAAACUAUAGAAAUGCCACACCCUGACCAAAAUAGAAGAGUUCACCUGGUCAGGGCGUGACAGUGUGCGUGCGUGCGUGUGUGUGUGUGUGUGAGACUUGGUGAUGUCAGAUCAACCACAGAGACAGCACGGACAAUGUGUGAAGUGUGUGUAUGUGUGUGUGUGUGUGUCAGACACCAGGCUCAUAACACAGUGCUGUGACCAGCUCUAAUAAGAUAGAACACCAGGCUCAUAACACAGUUCUGUGACCAGCUCUAAUAAAAUUAAUCAUAGAGGUGUACCCCAGACUAGCCUCCCAGUUACUACUGCUGAAAAACAUCCCAACAGCAUGAUGCUGCCACAAGCAUGCUUCACCAUAGGGAUGGUGUUGGCCAGGUGAUUAGCGGUGCCUGGUUUCCUCCUGAUGUGAUGCUUGGCAUUCAGGCCAAAGAGUUCAAUCUUGGUUUCACCAGACCAGUGAAUAUUGUUUCUCAUGGUCUGAGAGUCCUUUAGGUGGCUUUUGGCAAACUUCAAGUGGGCUGUCAUGUGCCUUUUACUGAGGAGUGGCUUCCGUCUGGCCACUCUACCGUAAAGGCCUGAUUGGUGGAGUGCUGCAGAGAUGGUUGUCCUUCUGGAAGGUUCUCCUAUCUCCACAGAGGAACUCUGGAUCUCUGUCAGAGUGACCAUCGGGUUCUUGGUCACCUCCCUGACCAAGGCCCUUCUACCCCGAUUGGUCAGUUUGUCCAGGCGACAAGCUCUACGAUGUCUUGGUGGUUCCAAACUUCUUCCAUUUAAGAAUGAUGGAGGCCACUGUGUUCUUGGGGACCUUCAAUGCUGCAGAAAUGUGUUGGUACCCAUCAAGUUGUAGAAACAGCUCAAGGAUGAUCAAUGGGAACAGGAUGAACCUGAGCUAAAUUUUCGAGUCUCAUAGCAAAAAGUCUGAAUACUUAUGUAAAUAAGGUAUUUCUGUUUUUAUUUGUAAUAAAUUUGCAUUCAAAAAAAUCUAAAAACCUGUUUUCGCUUUGUAAUUAUGGGCUAUUGUGUGUUGAUUGAUGAGGGGGAAAAAAGAUUUAAUCAAUUUUAGAAUAAGGCUGUAAGGUAGCAAAAUGUUGAAAAAGUGAAGGAGUCUGAAUACUUUCCGAAUGCACUGUAUGUAUGGAUAAGAUGCAUCUACUUGAUAUAUUUAGUGGAGCAAAGUGUGUCAUGGACAAGGUGUAGUGUGAAGUUAAGUGUCCUGUCAUGAUAACUAGUCACAAAAUCUACAGCAGGAUAUGAGACAUGACACUCCCAAGGUGUUCAUCUGGGUAGUGUUUAUUAGGGAACAGUACAGAAACAUUUUGGAAAUUUUAUGUAACGGAAGACAAAAAAUUUGUGUUUGUUAUUGGACAAAUCCAGGGGUGUAUUCACUAGGAACCAAUCAGAACCAAACCUAAAUUU
Molecule: long non-coding RNA, 1508 nt
Filed under: Salmo salar (Atlantic salmon)
Lineage: Eukaryota; Metazoa; Chordata; Actinopteri; Salmoniformes; Salmonidae
Description: lncRNA (ENSSSAG00000081785.1)
Source: RNAcentral